This is an RNA transcript of Ooceraea biroi (clonal raider ant), 1396 nucleotides long. It is a transcript of the gene named THAP domain-containing protein 2, with no coding region annotated. The record is from RefSeq and is a predicted model, not a curated record. Lineage: Eukaryota; Metazoa; Arthropoda; Insecta; Hymenoptera; Formicidae.
CUAUUAUACGUCUAUGGAUACAAGUAUGAUCCUGUAUCGAUAUUAUUGUACGGUUUACGUAGUUUUAAAAGUUUUCUAUCUGUUUCACAAUGGUGCGAUGUUGUUUUUGUAAUAGUAUUUUAACAAAAGGAUGUGGACGGACAUUUCACAGAUAAGUAUAGUAAAAUUACAUAUAAAAGGAAAUAAAAAGUAAGAAGUGCAGGUUAUGUUUACAGAAUAAAUAAUUAUGAUUAACUAUAUUGUUUCGUUCAGUGUAUUUAAUAAAUAAAUAAAAUUAAGUAUUUUUUAUUUUCUUUUUGUGAAGGUUUCCUUUAUCAGAUAAAUUUAUGUUGGAGCAGUGGCUCAAGCAAAUACCAAUGAAGCAUUGGACACCAAAUAAGGAUAGCCUCCUGUGUUCAGAUCAUUUUACAGAAAAUUGUUUUGACAAAUCUACAUUUCAAGUACGCUUAAAAUCUGAUAGUGUCCCAACAUGUUUUGGAGAUCCACAAACAGCUUGUAUAAUCUGCAAGCGGAAACGUUCACAUGAAUCGAUGCACUCAUUUUUCAAGUUUCCUUUAGAUAAACCUGUACUUCUCAAUAGAUGGCUGGAAAAUAUGAAUUUGUUAAAUUGGACACCUACUCAGUUAAGCUGCUUGUGUUCAAGCCAUUUUGAAGUAUCCUGUCUAAGGAAAGUAAAAAAUAAAUACUGGUCUUUAAAGGAAAAUAGUAUCCCAACGAUAUUAAAUCCCAGUGAUUGUGAUCCACUGUAUCAAAAUAUUGAAUUCGAAAAAUCUACGGAAAAUACUCUGCAUUUAAAUGAAAACAAGUCCACAUCAAAUUCUGUAACAAAUAAUGUUUCGCAUAAUGUACCGUUAAUAAAUGUAGUUAUUACUGAAGAUGCGAAGAAGAAAAAUCUUCAGAGUUACGAAGCGAGAACGUCACGUCUGGCCAUCUAUCGGUCGCUUGGUGAAUCAGAGGUGGGAAUCACACACACUUGUGUUGAUUUUUAUCUCUUGUUCCAUAAUCGAGUACAUUGAAACGUAUGAUGUAAAAAUAAUUAAUACUCGCAAAACAUUAGAUACGUCUAAGAAACAUAUAUUAGGCUAACAUGUGCUGCCUGGGUCAUCUAUCAUACGCACGACUGUAGAAGUUUUAUUUAUUACUUCCUCUGGUUGUAAUCUAGUGUGACACUACUAGUAGCCCGUAAAGACAUGGCCGACGAUCAAAUCCCCCUCCCCGCCAUUGCUUCACCCCCUCAGACCUAUGCUCUCUCCUUUAACUCCGUGAUUGGAGACGUCGCUAUUUAGCCUGCUGCAACCAUUUAUAUAGAUCGGUGGUACACACGCACACACACGUACGGGGAAGAGGAAUGUACACAAUAUCAAUUUCUCCGCCUCUUUGCACAUUAUCAAAAAAA